RNAcentral lists this ribosomal RNA (479 nucleotides) under Blanus tingitanus. Its description in RNAcentral is "partial 16S ribosomal RNA". It matches the Rfam family "Bacterial large subunit ribosomal RNA", at positions 1854 to 2597 of the family's 2925-position model. The record is from RNAcentral. Lineage: Eukaryota; Metazoa; Chordata; Lepidosauria; Squamata; Blanidae.
CCGCCUGCCCAGUGACACACGUUCAACGGCCGCGGUAUCCUAACCGUGCAAAGGUAGCAUAAUCAUUUGUUCUUUAAAUAAGGACCUGUAUGAAUGGCCGCAUGAGGAUUGACUUGUCUCUUACACCAAAUCGAUGAACCUGAUCCCCCAGUCCAAAAGCUGGGAUACCCGCAUAAGACGAGAAGACCCUGUGGAGCUUUAAACUACCUACCACACAGCCUGACUUAGCAUGUUUUUAGUUGGGGCGACUUUGGAGCAAAACACAACCUCCAAACACACAAACCCAAGGCCCACACGCCACCGCACUACCGCCUGACCCAAUAAUAAUUGAGUAAUGAACCAAGUUACCCCAGGGAUAACAGCGCAAUCUUCUUUUAGAGUCCCUAUCGACAAGAAGGUUUACGACCUCGAUGUUGGAUCAGGAUACCCAAAUAGUGCAGCCGCCAUUAAAGGUUCGUUUGUUCAACGAUUAAAAUCCU